RNAcentral lists this transfer RNA (47 nucleotides) under Philantomba monticola (Blue duiker). RNAcentral describes it as "partial tRNA-Pro". The record is from RNAcentral. Lineage: Eukaryota; Metazoa; Chordata; Mammalia; Artiodactyla; Bovidae.
AAGCUGAAGUUCUAUUUAAACUAUUCCCUGAAGCGUUAUCAAUAUAC